Molecule: ribosomal RNA, 253 nt
Filed under: uncultured bacterium
Lineage: Bacteria
Description: partial 16S ribosomal RNA
Rfam family: Bacterial small subunit ribosomal RNA
Source: RNAcentral
UACGAAGGGUGCAAACGUUGCUCGGAAUUAUUGGGCGUAAAGCGCACGUAGGCGGCGCUCUAAGUCGGAUGUGAAAGCCUUUGGCUCAACCAAAGAAGUGCAUUCGAAACUGGAGCGCUUGAGUAGUUAAGAGGAUCGCGGAAUUCCCGGUGUAGAGGUGAAAUUCGUAGGUAUCGGGAGGAACACCAGUGGCGAAGGCGGCGAUCUGGGAACAUACUGACGCUGAGGUGCGAAAGCGUGGGGAGCAAACAGG